UACGUAGGCAGCGAGCGUUGUUCGGAGUUACUGGGCGUAAAGGGUGUGUAGGCGGUUGUUUAAGUUUGGUGUGAAAUCUCCCCGGCUCAACUGGGAGGGUGCGCCGAAUACUGAAUGACUUGGAGUGCGGGAGAGGAGAGUGGAAUCCUGGUGUAGCGGUGAAAUGCGUAGAUAUCAGGAGGAACACCGGUGGUGUAGACGGCUCUCUGGACCGUAACUGACGCUGAGACACGAAAGCGUGGGUAGCAAACAGG
RNAcentral lists this ribosomal RNA (254 nucleotides) under uncultured bacterium. RNAcentral's name for it is "partial 16S ribosomal RNA". It matches the Rfam family "Bacterial small subunit ribosomal RNA", at positions 524 to 776 of the family's 1533-position model. The record is from RNAcentral.